RNAcentral lists this unclassified non-coding RNA (600 nucleotides) under Paecilomyces variotii. RNAcentral's name for it is "sequence contains 18S rRNA gene, ITS1, 5.8S rRNA gene, ITS2, 28S rRNA gene". The stretch from base 229 to 382 matches the Rfam family "5.8S ribosomal RNA". Lineage: Eukaryota; Fungi; Ascomycota; Eurotiomycetes; Eurotiales; Thermoascaceae. The record is from RNAcentral.
UCGUAACAAGGUUUCCGUAGGUGAACCUGCGGAAGGAUCAUUACCGAGUGAGGGUCCCUCGGGGCCCAACCUCCCAUCCGUGUUGUCCUGACACCUGUUGCUUCGGCGGGCCCGCCGUGGUUCACGCCCCGGCCGCCGGGGGGUUCACGCCCCCGGGCCCGCGCCCGCCGAAGACCCCUGGAACGCUGCCUGGAAGGUUGCCGUCUGAGUAUACAAUCAAUCAAUUAAAACUUUCAACAACGGAUCUCUUGGUUCCGGCAUCGAUGAAGAACGCAGCGAAAUGCGAUAAGUAAUGUGAAUUGCAGAAUUCCGUGAAUCAUCGAAUCUUUGAACGCACAUUGCGCCCCCUGGCAUUCCGGGGGGCAUGCCUGUCCGAGCGUCAUUGCUAACCCUCCAGCCCGGCUGGUGUGUUGGGCCGCCGUCCCCCCUCCCCGGGGGACGGGCCCGAAAGGCAGCGGCGGCGUCGCGUCCGGUCCUCGAGCGUAUGGGGCUCUGUCACACGCUUCAGUAGAACCGGCCGGCUUGCUGGCCAUCACCUAUAUUUUUCUCUUAGGUUGACCUCGGAUCAGGUAGGGAUACCCGCUGAACCUAAGCAUAUCA